This 770-nucleotide ribosomal RNA is filed under the name uncultured bacterium. RNAcentral describes it as "bacterial SSU rRNA". It matches the Rfam family "Bacterial small subunit ribosomal RNA", at positions 62 to 810 of the family's 1533-position model. The record is from RNAcentral.
UCGAACGCGAAAGUGGAGCAAUCCAUGAGUAGAGUGGCAAACGGGUGAGUAACGCGUGGGUGACCUGCCUUCGAGUGGGGGAUAACGUUCCGAAAGGGACGCUAAUACCGCAUGACAUCCGGCCUUUGAAGAGGCGGAGAUCAAAGCUGGGGAUCGCAAGACCUAGCGCUCGAUGAGGGGCCCGCGUCUGAUUAGCUAGUUGGUGGGGUAACGGCUCACCAAGGCAACGAUCAGUAUCCGGCCUGAGAGGGCGGACGGACACACUGGGACUGAGACACGGCCCAGACUCCUACGGGAGGCAGCAGUGGGGAAUUGUUCGCAAUGGGCGCAAGCCUGACGACGCAACGCCGCGUGGAGGAUGAAGAUCUUCGGGUCGUAAACUCCUUUCGAUCGAGACGAACAGCCUUCGGGUAAACAAUCCGGAGGUCUGACGGUACCGAGAGAAGAAGCCCCGGCUAACUCCGUGCCAGCAGCCGCGGUAAUACGGGGGGGGCAAGCGUUGUUCGGAAUUACUGGGCGUAAAGGGCUCGUAGGCGGCCAACUAAGUCAGACGUGAAAUCCCUCGGCUUAACCGGGGAACUGCGUCUGAUACUGGAUGGCUUGAGUUUGGGAGAGGGAUGCGGAAUUCCAGGUGUAGCGGUGAAAUGCGUAGAUAUCUGGAGGAACACCGGUGGCGAAGGCGGCAUCCUGGACCAACACUGACGCUGAGUGAGCGAAAGCCAGGGGAGCAAACGGGAUUAGAUACCCCGGUAGUCCUGGCCCUAAACGAU